GACGAACGCUGGCGGCGUGCUUAACACAUGCAAGUCGAACGGUGAACGAGGGAGCUUGCUCCCUCCGGAUCAGUGGCGAACGGGUGAGUAACACGUGAGCAAUCUGCCCCGAACUCUGGGAUAAGCGUUGGAAACGACGUCUAAUACCGGAUACGACGCGGGAGGGCAUCCUCUCCGCGUGGAAAGAACUUCGGUUCGGGAUGAGCUCGCGGCCUAUCAGCUUGUUGGUGAGGUAACGGCUCACCAAGGCGACGCCGGGUAGCCGGCCUGAGAGGGUGACCGGCCACACUGGGACUGAGACACGGCCCAGACUCCUACGGGAGGCAGCAGUGGGGAAUAUUGCACAAUGGGCGCAAGCCUGAUGCAGCAACGCCGCGUGAGGGACGACGGCCUUCGGGUUGUAAACCUCUUUUAGCAGGGAAGAAGCGAAAGUGACGGUACCUGCAGAAAAAGCACCGGCUAACUACGUG
Molecule: ribosomal RNA, 470 nt
Filed under: uncultured bacterium
Lineage: Bacteria
Description: partial 16S ribosomal RNA
Rfam family: Bacterial small subunit ribosomal RNA
Source: RNAcentral